RNAcentral lists this long non-coding RNA (934 nucleotides) under Brachypodium distachyon (stiff brome). RNAcentral's name for it is "long non-coding RNA (BDIS_LNC001502)". The record is from RNAcentral. Lineage: Eukaryota; Viridiplantae; Streptophyta; Magnoliopsida; Poales; Poaceae.
UUAUCUGAGACAAGUUGGGCCUUGCAGGCUACUGGGCUUAGUAAUGCACGCUCAGUCUUUAGCCCAACUAUUAGUGGGCUUUCUAUCAGAUAGUGGAAGAAGUUGGGAACUGUCUGCUGCUUCUGCUAUCCGGUGAAAGCCUUUUUGGCCCAUCGGAAAUUAAAACAAGGGUGUUUUUUUUUUUUACUUUAUUGAAAUUUCUUGCUUAGAGUUCCUUCGAUUGUUUUCUAAAAAAAAAGAGUUCCUUCGAUUUUUACUAGCUUAAUGGAUUAUUUCUCUAUUCCCAAAAUAACUUGUUUUUUUUUUAUUUAGUAAGAGGUGAGCUAAUUGGGUUGUCACAUGUGCAAAACCGCCAUCAUGUCCAGAGGGGGAGCGGUGAUCCUGCUGUUGGGUCCUAAACAAGAUCCUAGAUGACUUGUUGUAGAUGAGAUGAUUUUGGAGAGUCGGCGAAGGGGUAGCUAGUCGAGUGGGUUUGUGAAUAUUCGCGAACCUAUAACCACGGAUUACGAGAGACAGCUCCAUCCACUACAUAUGUUGCAUAUGUGAAUCACGUAUAGGCAGGGGCGGAGCUAGAUCAUUUCACCGGUGUCAGUAGACACCAGUGAUUUUGUUUGAAACCCUUAUAACUAUAUCACAAAAUUGAAAUUGACACACCAUCCAAAAUAGAUGCAAACUAGUGCAAUUAAGCUCUUGACACCGACCGCUGUUUAUCUUGUCCUCACCCCUGCGUAUAGGUGCAAUAAAUAAUAUCUUCAAUUAAAGAAAAAGAAGGAGAAUUCAAAACUUUAUGAGAAAUCUCGUCCGAUCGAUGGUCGGGAUUUUUCCGGUUACUGCUAAUCCACUCCCACGGAAUUUUAAGAAAUCCGGAACCUAAGAACUCGGUGCCGAGACAUCAAGGGAGAAAGAUCAUUCCGGUGAAGCCAACAACAGAUAC